RNAcentral lists this ribosomal RNA (377 nucleotides) under uncultured eukaryote. Its description in RNAcentral is "partial 18S ribosomal RNA". It matches the Rfam family "Eukaryotic small subunit ribosomal RNA", at positions 592 to 976 of the family's 1831-position model. The record is from RNAcentral.
CAAUAGCGUAUAUUAAAGUUGUUGCGGUUAAAAAGCUCGUAGUUGGAUUUCGGGUGGGAAUGGCCGGUCCGCCGUUUCGGUGUGCACUUGCUACGCCCACCUUGCUGCCGGGGACGUGCUCUUGAGUUCACGCUCGGGACACGGAGUCGGCGAGGUUACUUUGAGUAAAUUAGAGUGUUCAAAGCAGGCCUACGCUCUGAAUACAUUAGCAUGGAAUAACACGAUAGGACUCUGGCCUAUCUUGUUGGUCUGUAGGACCGGAGUAAUGAUUAAGAGGGACAGUCGGGGGCAUUCGUAUUUCAUUGUCAGAGGUGAAAUUCUUGGAUUUAUGAAAGACGAACUACUGCGAAAGCAUUUGCCAAGGAUGGUUUCAUUAA